Molecule: ribosomal RNA, 498 nt
Filed under: uncultured bacterium
Lineage: Bacteria
Description: partial 16S ribosomal RNA
Rfam family: Bacterial small subunit ribosomal RNA
Source: RNAcentral
GAUGAACGCUAGCGGCAGGCCUAAUACAUGCAAGUCGAACGAUACCAGAGAGCUUGCUUUCUGGGAAAGUGGCGCACGGGUGCGUAACGCGUAUGCGACCUACCUUAAUCAGGGGGAUAGCCUCUCGAAAGAGAGAUUAACACCGCAUAACAUCAUUUUACGGCAUCGUAGAAUGAUCAAAUAUUUAUAGGAUUAAGAUGGGCAUGCGUGACAUUAGCUAGUUGGUGAGGUAACGGCUCACCAAGGCUACGAUGUCUAGGGGAGCUGAGAGGAUGACCCCCCACACUGGGACUGAGACACGGAACAGACUCCUACAGGAGGCAGCAGUAAGGAAUAUUUGUCAAUGGAGGCAACUCUGAACCAGCCAUGCCGCGUGCAGGAAGACGGCCCUAUGGGUUGUAAACUGCUUUUAUACGGGAAUAAACCUCUCUACGUGUAGGGAGUUGAAUGUACUGUAAGAAUAAGGAUCGGCUAACUCCGUGCCAGCCGCCGCAGUAA